This 253-nucleotide ribosomal RNA is filed under the name uncultured bacterium. Its description in RNAcentral is "partial 16S ribosomal RNA". It matches the Rfam family "Bacterial small subunit ribosomal RNA", at positions 524 to 776 of the family's 1533-position model. The record is from RNAcentral.
UACAGGGGGUGCAAACGUUGCUCGGAAUUAUUGGGCGUAAAGCGCGCGUAGGCUGACCGGAAAGUCGGGCGUGAAAUCCCUGAGCUCAACUCAGGAACUGCACUCGAAACUCCCGGUCUAGAGUGGUGGAGAGGGAAGUGGAAUUCCUGGUGUAGAGGUGAAAUUCGUAGAUAUCAGGAGGAACACCAGUGGCGAAGGCGGCUUCCUGGACACCAACUGACGCUGAGACGCGAAAGCGUGGGGAGCAAACAGG